GUACACUCCUGCGGGAGGCAGCAGUGGGGAAUAUUGGACAAUGGGCGCAAGCCUGAUCCAGCCAUGCCGCGUGAGUGAUGAAGGCCCUAGGGUUGUAAAGCUCUUUCACCGGUGAAGAUAAUGACGGUAACCGGAGAAGAAGCCCCGGCUAACUUCGUGCCAGCAGCCGCGGUAAUACGAAGGGGGCUAGCGUUGUUCGGAUUUACUGGGCGUAAAGCGCACGUAGGCGGACUAUUAAGUCAGGGGUGAAAUCCCGGGGCUCAACCCCGGAACUGCCUUUGAUACUGGUAGUCUUGAGUUCGAGAGAGGUGAGUGGAAUUCCGAGUGUAGAGGUGAAAUUCGUAGAUAUUCGGAGGAACACCAGUGGCGAAGGCGGCUCACUGGCUCGAUACUGACGCUGAGGUGCGAAAGCGUGGGGAGCAAACAGGAUUAGAUACCCUUGUAGUCCCAUGAU
This 454-nucleotide ribosomal RNA is filed under the name uncultured organism. Its description in RNAcentral is "partial 16S ribosomal RNA". It matches the Rfam family "Bacterial small subunit ribosomal RNA", at positions 331 to 801 of the family's 1533-position model. The record is from RNAcentral.